Triticum aestivum (bread wheat) is the source of this 135-nucleotide non-coding RNA. Lineage: Eukaryota; Viridiplantae; Streptophyta; Magnoliopsida; Poales; Poaceae. The record is from Rfam.
AAAGUACUCCCUCCGUCCGGAAAUACUUGUCAUCAAAAUGAAUAAAAGAGGAUGUAUCUAGAUGUAUUUUAGUUCUAGAUACACCUCUUUUUAUCCAUUUUAAUGACAAGUAUUUUCGGACAGAGAGAGUAGAAA